Molecule: long non-coding RNA, 1014 nt
Filed under: Homo sapiens (human)
Lineage: Eukaryota; Metazoa; Chordata; Mammalia; Primates; Hominidae
Description: HSALNT0277706
Source: RNAcentral
GGGACCUCAGGAUCCCUGAGAGCAGGACAUUCUGGAUCAUGGGGUGCCUUCAUUCAGAGGUCCUCAGACCAGGGGUAUCCCAUGUUUUUGUAAACUUGAGGGACCCAAGAGAGAAAGGAGUCACAAGCCACAGUUCUUGCCACAGGAAGACUCGAUAAAAACAGAUUAUUUUGUUUGCUUUUAGCCCUGGGGCAGGAACUGCAGGUAGGGAUAGGGGAACACACCCAAGCUCUGUUGAUCCUGGUGUGACUCGGAAGAAGAACCAGGACAGAGAAUCUCGGCUGGAAGUCUUUUAUUCUUUUAACUUGAAAGAGGACAUGUUGAACCCGCCCCUUACGCUCAGGUAGCUCAGGUGGCUGUGACCCAGCCUGUUGGGAAAAGUCAGCUCGUGCCCAUCUGGCAGCUUCACCUUGAAUUUGUCACUCUCAAAGGUCACUGUGAACUGUGGGGAGGGAGGGUGUCAAGGAGGCAGGAGGCCCUGGAAAUGGGCCAGGGCAGUGCCUGAUGGCUCAAACAAGGCCAGCACCUGUGUCCAGGCCAGGCUCUCUUCCAUCUGGGCCCUCCCCUUGACAUCACCCCAGUGCCCUUUCCCCCUUUGACCUCACCUUGACCUCUGACCCUGGGCUGAAGCACAGGUGAUCUUCCCGUUGUUCUUGCCCCCAGUUGCUGCCGUCCAAUGAGUUGCAGACAAUGGUGGAUUCGCUGAAGCGAGGGUUGAAAUGCAGGUUCAGCUUGUCUGUCCCCUGGCCCAGAUUAAUUACAAAGCUGCAGGAGAAGGGGUAGCAGGUGAGGUUCAGGGCUCAGGCCUGGAUAAAGCAGCUUGGGUUGGAGGACCUUGGUUGACCACAAGCUGGAAGAAUCAAAGCUUGUGUUAGUUGAGAUCUGUGCCUUAAAACAAGGGAGGUAACAACCUGCUCAGACUUAGCACUGUGGUAGCACAUUCCAUUUGGAGCAGGGAUCACGCUGUUGAGAGAAGGGUAACUGAUAGUGACAGCUUCGGGAAUUGGGGGUGGC